GACGAACGCUGGCGGCGUGCUUAACACAUGCAAGUCGAGCGGUAAGGCCCUUUCGGGGGUACACGAGCGGCGAACGGGUGAGUAACACGUGGGUGACCUGCCCUCAGCUCUGGGAUAAGCCUGGGAAACUGGGUCUAAUACUGGAUAUGACUCCACGGUGCAUGUCGUGGGGUGGAAAGCCUUGUGCGGCUGAGGAUGGGCCCGCGGCCUAUCAGCUUGUUGGUGGGGUGANGGCCUACCAAGGCGACGACGGGUAGCCGGCCUGAGAGGGCGACCGGCCACACUGGGACUGAGACACGGCCCAGACUCCUACGGGAGGCAGCAGUGGGGAAUCUUGCGCAAUGGGCGGAAGCCUGACGCAGCGACGCCGCGUGAGGGAUGACGGCCU
Molecule: ribosomal RNA, 388 nt
Filed under: uncultured bacterium
Lineage: Bacteria
Description: bacterial SSU rRNA
Rfam family: Bacterial small subunit ribosomal RNA
Source: RNAcentral